AACAGUGCCAACAGGUGCCAUUUUGUGUGUCUUUAUUGUGGACAUGACAUUACAUCUUUUUGAAAUGAUGUACAAAAGUGUAACAGAACUGAGAAUGGCUCAGACGAGGUAGAGCUUUCACAUCGGCUUGCUGGCAUGAAAACUACACAGUAUAAAAACAAAAACAACCCAGAAAAAUCAAAUUAAACAAACACUCCUGUCUGCCUUUGUCCUCUCAUCCUUUUUUGAAGUGAUAAUAAAUACAGAUAUCAACCAAAUACAUUUGGAAUAAUAAUAACGUCUUCUAAGGUAAAUUAAUCAUGAAGUUCAAAACAAAUAAAAAAAGAAAGCAAUACGGACACAAAUAAUACAACUUAAGAGACGUGAUAGAAACCCAACCAAAGAGAAAAGAACAACACCUGCCAGCCCCUCUGGGAGGGCAGCCAUGACUAGCUACUGAACAAACCCUACAGUUUAGCAAAGAGAAAGACUAAAAACACACUCUUACAUCUUUUGGAAAAAAAAAAAAAAGCAUUGCUGAAACUAGCAUUAUCAAACUUUCCAUGAGCUAAUCUGUCACAGAACAAACCAUUUGUCAUUAAAAUCUAGGGUAUUAUCCUAAAGAAAAGCUCUGAAACCAGGAAUGACAAUGAGAGUGUUAGCCGGCACUGUUAAAAAGACAUUCUCAAAAAAAUUAAAAAUAAUAACCCUUCGCUAGAAUCGGACAAAAUGAGAACGGUUAAAGCAGUAACCUAGUCUAAGUGCACUAGUAAUGCCAUUUGGUUUCUACUGCUGUAUAUAAGGGUUUGGUAAGAGUGGAUUACAGAUGUACAGUUUAUUUUACAUACACUCACUCCUGCUUCAUAGUUUUUCUAAGUCACACUUCGGAGUACAAAUUCAUAACUGAGGAGUUAAUAUUAAAGGGAAUUCUGUACAACAUUGGUAUUAGUACUACACUACCUCGAAGGCUAGAGUAUCCUUAUUUCAAGUAUUUUCACUACCCACACCUUCAUUAUACACACUUGUGUAUCAUUAGGCAUAUUCAAGCACACUUUACUGUAUGCAAAGCAACCAUUUCAUCGUCAUGUAAAAACUACUGAGGUCUCAAAAUAGACGGGAAGUACAGUACUCUGUCCGCUCUGUAACCUUUCACUGCUUUGAAAUUUAAAUUCAUGUUUACAAAAAUGUCUCCAUCGCUCGACUCUCGCUUUGAGCAUCUGAGUUUUGUCUGUAUUUGUUGUUCUCCACAUAUAUAUCAAGGCAUGGCUUUAUUUUUCAAUCCUAAAGGCUGAUGAGAAUGAAAAAUCAAGCCUAGUUCACAAAGAAAACACACCCCCUCGCAAAUACAGCCCUGUUCGUCUUUACGCUAGCCGAUGAAGUAACAGGCUUUCCUUGCAGAGGAGGUAGGCUAGUAUACAAGCAACUAGAAGAAGGCUGUGGCACACGGGAGUGAGGCAACCUCUUAUACAGUGUGGAGAAGUUUGAAACACACACGCACACACACACACACAUACAAAAGUACACACUCUCUCACACCCUUGAGAAGGCCGUGACAGCUCUACAUUAACUCAAGAAGAUACUCGUCUGUGUGUUUGUACCUGAACUCUCUAAAAGCCUGACCUCUGACCUCUGUCUUUCUGUCUCUCUCUCUCUCUCUCUGACCUCCUCACUCUUUCUCCUGGAAUACAAAUCUACACAUCCCCAUUCAAGAAAUAAGACUGACAGCAUCAGGGAGUUAAGCUCAUUAGAAAAAGCUCUGUCACGAUAACGACAAAUGUGAGGAAAACUUUGGGUAAUUUUGGGGGGAAAUAAACUCUCUCUAAUCUGGCAUAAAGUUCAAGUAAAAGAUUAACAUCACUUUUAUAUCAAAUUAAACAAAAGGCUAAAACUAGCUGCUAUUUAGCUUAGCUCAGCAUAGAGUAUUUAUGGUUUCACUCUUGUACAAAAGUUUAGUAGAGUUCGCAAUCCAUGUAGUCCAUGAGCGUAUUCCGAUUCAUUCUGGUAAGGCAGCUGUGACACUGCGUCUGUCAUAUAGCCUAGUUACAGUUAAAUCAACAUUUUGUGUCAAAAUUAUAGCCUGAAAAAGUCACUUUUUCUCUCCAUUUUUGAUUUUGUUUUUAAACAUGCCUAUGCCUUUGUCUUAUACAUUAACCCGCCAGCUUAACUCAAAGGCAAGCCGGGAUUGGUUUGGUUACAAAAGGCCAGAGAGUCAAUGUUGCCCUUUAGCAAAAUGAAAUGAAUAAUUAGUAAAUGGCAGCUCCAUAUUUGCCACUGCAGAGACCCAAUUUUGAGUCUAAUCUGAGUGAUCCGGGGCCCCACCUUUAUUUCCAGCUGUUCUGAGUUCAGUCUGAUUCAAAGUCAGAUGGUUCAGAGUGGGAAAAACUCUCUAAUGUGAAGAAGUUAUGGAGGAAAACUGCCUCCACUCAGUCCCUUCCUCUUAAAUGGACAAUAAUUGAAUGACCAUAAAAAGGUACGCUCAUUUAUAUUGGCUAUUAAAAACGCACACUCUUUUUAAUGAGCACUAAAGUAGACACCCCCGUUAGCGUGCACUCUCUCUCUUUCUUUCUCUCUUUCACCUUCUCUCUUUUAACCCUACCUCUCUCUUUCUUUCUCCCUCUCCUCUUCCUCUAAUCAUCAGCCUCAGAGUGGUCACUGCACUUAGACAUUACACUCCAGAGUGGAGGGAAGUGAGUUUUACACACACACAGACACACACAGACACAUGCAGACACAGAUGUGAGUCAAGCUUGAAAUGUGUCUGUUGAUGAACUGCAGAACGUCUUCUCUGUCUGAUUAUCGGUGUGUCCUGAGAAAUGCACUAAUUCUUACAGUAUAGCAAAGGGGAGACACAGAGUAACCACAGCAGCCAUGCAAUUCCACACUCAGAAUUAAACCUUUAGCAUUUUAGCUCCGUUUCAUUUCAUUACAAAUGUUUUUUUUUCUUUUCCUAUAAAGCUGGAUGAGGCAACUUCCCCUUUUAGUACCUCCAAAAUGGCAGCAAGAGGUAACUUUUUUGAAUUUUUCAGGGCCUUUUCUUAACAAAAAAUCCUGUAAGGUGAUGUAAACUAUGCACAAUCAGCUCUUUCUGUCCAGCCUUCAUUUUAACCAAGAUCCAAAAAAGCACAAAAAUCAAUCACCAUGGAGUCGAGUUUCUUGGUGUUCGAACACGUCAGAGAUCUCUCCCAGUUUCUUCUGUUUCAGGGGAAAUUUUUUAACUUGUGUGCACACCUGACACCUGAA
RNAcentral lists this long non-coding RNA (3219 nucleotides) under Xyrichtys novacula (pearly razorfish). Lineage: Eukaryota; Metazoa; Chordata; Actinopteri; Labriformes; Labridae. The record is from RNAcentral.